RNAcentral lists this long non-coding RNA (3526 nucleotides) under Canis lupus familiaris (dog). Its description in RNAcentral is "lncRNA (ENSCAFG00040006942.1)". The record is from RNAcentral. Lineage: Eukaryota; Metazoa; Chordata; Mammalia; Carnivora; Canidae.
AUGAAUUUUAAAUAUUCCAUGUUUCAAAGAGGCAUGUCAAGCGCAGCCGGCUCACUCAUUUUUCAAAGCAGUAAAUUAUACAGCGUUGGAAUUUUUCAUAUUAAGCAUCUGAUCCUGCAGAAGGAGCCGUCGGGGACGGAGGUGGUGAAUCGGAGGAGUUUCUGGGUCUUCAGGGCGCGGUGCUCCGCCCCAGGUGACCUUGUGUGUCCUCGGCCCCAGGCCAUUGCUACCUGCCUUACAGUCUCAUGGAAAAGAAUGUCCUGUCUCUACCAAGUGGUCAUGACACCAUUCAUCCACCCAUUCAUUCCAUCACUCCGUCAGCAAACACCUGGGCCCAUAAUGCAUCAUGUUCCUUUACUGCUGAGCACAAUCAGCACACAGCAUAGCUGCUCACUGGACAUUUGCAAAAUAAAUAAAUAAAUAAAUAAAUAAAUUAAUUAAUUAAUUAAAUAAAGGGGGGUGAACAUUGCAUUUUUCACUUCAUUGUCAAAAGUGAAAUGAAGAAGUCACUUCAUUGACUGAUACAACAAAACUGGUAAAAUUUGGGGAGCCCUUUAGUGAAAUAGCCUCGUUUGGCACCAAAAGAGUUCCUAUUCGGAGUUAUCCACGAGCAGAGGCUCUACUAUGCAAAGGAAGGAAUGUGAACAAGAGAGUGGGAGAGAUACCCGCGCUUGCUCGCUCAUCUGCGUCCCAGUGACCUGAAGCCUGCUCUGUAGCUGUGCAAGCGCUGAACCCAGGAGGCCCCGCCGGCAGGGCGUUGCAGCUCCCUACGGGGAAAAUACCCGGGUUCCCCGCUGCUGCAUCCCGAGCCCCGAAUGCCGGGCCCGGCACAUGGCAGGUGCUCCAUGGAUGUCGCCCGCCGUGAGGAUGAGCUGUGGCAAACCACAUGGGCCUCUGCGAGACGCUUCCCACCCUUCUAGGCGGCGGCGUAAAGCCAGGCAAGGGAGCAUCUACUUGGCCAUUGUUACAAUCCAGCCCUUGUGCACGUUAAUAGGAACCUAGUUGUGGAUUGUGGUUUAUCAACAAGUGGGGCUGGUGUCUGUGUCACCAAAUCAAGAAUAAUCGUGCUCUUUGUAAAUGUUAAGGGAUAAUCAUGGCUAUUCCUGGAUGGGUUAGUCUCCUCCCUUCUUGCCUCUCGUGUUUACUCUGCGUGGAUCAAUUUUCAUUUUAUAGUUUCAUAAUUAAAAGUCUAAGACACCCCCAACACUUCGGGUGCCCACGCGCUACCCGCCCUCUCCCCCUCCCCGCCCCCUCCAGCAAGAACCACUGUCCUGACGUCAGUGUAAAUUCUCUUGACUAUUUUUAUUCUUUGUGGCGCGACAUUUUCCUACUGAGGAAUAACCGGGGCUUUCUGACUUUGAUGCUGUGAACUGUGUUGAGAGGACAGUCAUGCACCUCUGUGUUGGUGAGUUUUCUAGCGUACGUGCGUGCAAGCGGAAAGGCUGGGCCGCAGGAACCAAGCACCAUCACCUUUAUCAGCUGUUGUCACCCGGCCUCCGAGGCGCUUAGCAAACGUGCGACGCGAGCCGCAGCACGUGGGGCCGUGUGGCGCCCAGUUCCCCAGGACGUCCCGUAGGAUGUGAUGGGAUGCGUGGCGGCAAAGUGCGAUGCUGUUGUGACUGCCUCGCUCUGUGUUAUCACUGGUCUGUAGAUUUGCUGGGAUUUUCUAGGUCGGAGCCGCAGGCUGCAGGUGACAUCAUUCUCCUUCCUGGCUCCUGGUGCGGUCACAGCGGAGCACCGCGGGGAGGGGAGGAGGGACAGGCUGGCGAGCGUUGCAGGGAGAGUGCGGAGCCACCGAGUCCCUCCUGUGGAUGAGCUGCAUCUGCUCUGGGCUGUCCGGUGGCGACAGGCCUGGGCCUGGCCGCGACCUCCUACCUGCCUACCUGACCGCCCGCCACCGGCUCCCCAUCACCGUGCCUGGCACUGAUAAAGAACAUCAUCCCGUGUCCCCGCUGCCUGCAGACUGUCGCUUUCUGAAGCUUGGCCUGAAUGUGCGAUGAUGCAUCAGGUCGCCCCACGUCAGGGGGCCCGCAGCGUCCUGCCGGGGCGGCCCGUCACCCUCGUGUCCCCACCUCUCUGCUCUGACAAAGACGGUUUGACCCUCAGUGGCCCCCGCCCCUUCCUCUGGGGGAACUUCCUCGAGCUUCUCUGUCCCCUGAAAGUCCCUCUCCUCCCUGCACCUGCUUCCCUUGGGAAGGACCCAGCACAUACCGCGCCCCGUCCGUGCAGCCAGUUUUUGAUUCUUUACGAAGUUGAAGCAACUUCACACUGACCCUUCCUCCGAGGACAGUUUUAUGCGCUUCAUCUAAUCCGGUGACGUGGCGCUGACCCCGGGCUUGGGUUCCAGGUAACAGUCCCUAAGCCGCUGCCGAGGGAGGGAGACUCAGCCUUCUGACCCAGCUCCUCACGAUGGCAUCUGCCUAAUGUCGCCGGAUUUCCCGCCUGAAGGGAGCCUUAUUCCGAGCGCCACCCACAGCGCUUGAAACAUCUCAGAAUUCAGAUCAGUGUCUGCGUCCCUUCCCCGCGCCGCUCCCGCCCCCGCUGCCGGCUGCUGGUGCCCACGCUGACCUGCCACACCUGCGGCUCCUUCCGUUCCCGGGUCUGUUCUCCUGAGAUGACACUUCUCUUUCCCACUACAUCAUGUUGACCAUAUAUAUAUAUUUUUUUCUCUGACAAUGUACUUUCUCCUACUUGUAUAUCGAAGUGGGCCAGCAGCGCUUCUACAACGGGGUGGUCUCAGUCUAACCCAGUCAAGGAAAUGAGAUUUCUUCCCAAAUGCUGCCAGAGGUUCCAUCAAGGCCUCCCAAUGUGGUUACCCAGGGAUCGAUUUCUUUAUGGAUAAAUAGCCACUUAGACCUUAAGAACUACUCACUAAAUACAUAAAUAAAUGAACAAGAGGAAGAAAAAUGCAGGGGAGGGAGCUGCAGCUCUUCACGGGGCGAUGGAUGUGCUCACCAGCUCCACGUGUUGGUUUUUCCACAAAGCGCUCGCGCAUCAAAACAUGGAGUUGUAUAUACCUUUGAUACAUAGGAUUUUUAUCAGUUAUUCCCGGGAAAAGGAAAAGAGUCAGGAACAAUGACCCAGCAUCAACGUCUGUGCUUCUAUCCGGUGAAGCGCACGUGGUCGUUAAGACGGACAUACUGACGACUCACUCUCCUCCUGAGAGCGCUUAUUUUUCUUCCAGCCUGCUCACGCUUUGACUCAAUGUCAUGCUUUAUUCUCACGUAGUAUUUUUUGUCACGAUGGCUUAAUGCAACCUCUUAGGAUGAAGAUAUAUUUUAAGUCUGAUGAAAUCUUAUUUCAGCUAUGGAGGGUGGGAAAUAAAAAGCAAAUGACUGACAGUUCGCAAGGCAAACAGCUGGGGCCCGGCUCUCCCUGGACCCCUGUGCUCACCGGGUACCAAGCGUCCCCACCCACGCUUUCUCCCAAUGCUAAGCUGCUAGGGUCGCAUUCGUGUCACAGACGGACGCUGUGCCUCCGUGUAGCCCAGGGACCCUGCCAGGUACUGGAGGGUGGCAAGCCUGAG